GCCAAAUAUCAGCCCAAUUAAUAUAUAGUAUACUAAUUGAAUAUGCUAAUGAACGAUAAAUUUUGGAGGUGCAACAAAGGUGAAAGCUUUUUGCAUUUUUCAUGAACUCGCUUCCCUUUUCCACACCUGAAUCCUCAUGGAAAAUUUAAUCCAGCUUAUUCAGGGGACUUGUUCAAGCAUAUGGAGAAGCACAACCAUGUCCUUACAGAAGCAUAUAGAUCACUGUUGCAUCAAGCCCAAAAGCUUCAGCAACCAAUUGGCCAUGGCAAACCUUAAAUGGAACUUCGAUCUGCGACAAAUUAAUCUUUGAUCUCUGCAGGUAGAGGAAGAAAUGCUUAUGCACAAGCUUUAUGGAGUUAUGGCAGCUCAUGGUCUCGUUAAAAAGAAUCCUUAUAAUUCCAACAAUCCUUAAAAUAGCAGAACAGCUCAACACUCCAAUAGGGAAGUCAAUGUAGCACAGGAGGAACAGUAGGACAUAAUUUUGGUUUGUUCACUCACAAAUUUUGGGAUCAAGGGCCAAAAUCGACAAUUGCCUAAUUGCACAUGCAGUAUGUUUCUUUGGGAAGCAUUUUAUUCUACAUAAAUAGAAGCAUAGUGGUGUUCAAGAAUUAUAAUGUGAAAUGAAUCUGGGCCUGUGUCUAACAAAGGGUGCAAUCCCUGUUACUUUUGAUAGGCCUUGUGUUCUAUGUGUUCCCACCAAUGUCUUUCUUGGUGGAAUUAUUUUCAGUGUUCAAGAGAAAUGGAAGCUUUCAAGAUUAUAUUACUUCUGUCACCCCCCACAUGGUUUUAAUCAUUGACAAAAGUUCUGAAGUGUCACUCUGUCAGUUAUCAAACACUAACAGUUCAUCCACUGCUACUCAUGAUGGUACCAUAUAUGUUCAGAGGUGGAUUAUUCAAAAUAAACAGUAAUCUUGAAAGUUGAAACACGACUAUGAACUAUUUUCACUCGUACUGCAUACUGCAUUAAACAGAGAUGGCAGAACACGAACGCUCCAUUGCUGCAAUGUGUUAUUGAAUGUGAUUAAGAAAAGGUGUAAUGUGUUAAUUCCUUUUUCUUAUGAACUGAUACAAAUUAGUUCUCAUCAGAAUGUUUGGAUUGAUGAGAAGGAGUACUCGUCAUAAUGUUAUAUAUAUAUCGUUGAGACUCUACAUGAACCUGUUAUCCAUGACAGGUGUGUCAAUUGUGAUGAAGGAAACUCAACCAAUUAGCAAAGCAAGUUAGUAAUGGAAAGUAUACUCCCAUGAUUCCGAAGGCUGAAGGUUGACCGCGAUGCACCAACAAUUUCAUUAAUAAAGUACAAUAAACAGUUGGCAUGUUCCAUGAUUGUUGGCCGACAUGUAUAUGUGGGACUGGAGGAGUAGGAUAAUGUAGAAUAGGCUAAAUGAGGCAAUAAGGGAGCCUAAGAUAAGGGAAAUGUCAACUCCUACUUAGCUCUAGCUCUAGCUCUAGCUCAUUCCAUUUUGAAAUACAUGAAUCCUUAUCUAAAACUCACUAAAAUUUGAGAUCCUUAUUUGAUUAUGUAUUGUACAACAAAGAUAUUAUAGGUUA
Arachis stenosperma is the source of this 1549-nucleotide long non-coding RNA. RefSeq lists it as uncharacterized. Lineage: Eukaryota; Viridiplantae; Streptophyta; Magnoliopsida; Fabales; Fabaceae. The record is from RefSeq and is a predicted model, not a curated record. The transcript has 5 exons.